This 468-nucleotide ribosomal RNA is filed under the name uncultured bacterium. RNAcentral describes it as "partial 16S ribosomal RNA". It matches the Rfam family "Bacterial small subunit ribosomal RNA", at positions 28 to 507 of the family's 1533-position model. The record is from RNAcentral.
GACGAACGCUGGCGGCGUGCUUAACACAUGCAAGUCGAACGGAAAGGCCCUGCUUUUGUGGGGUGCUCGAGUGGCGAACGGGUGAGUAACACGUGAGUAACCUGCCCUUGACUUUGGGAUAACUUCAGGAAACUGGGGCUAAUACCGGAUAGGAGCUCCUGCUGCAUGGUGAGGGUUGGAAAGUUUCGGCGGUUGGGGAUGGACUCGCGGCUUAUCAGCUUGUUGGUGGGGUAGUGGCUUACCAAGGCUUUGACGGGUAGCCGGCCUGAGAGGGUGACCGGCCACAUUGGGACUGAGAUACGGCCCAGACUCGUACGGGAGGCAGCAGUGGGGAGUAUUGCACAAUGGGCGGAAGCCUGAUGCAGCAACGCCGCGUGCGGGAUGACGGCCUUCGGGUUGUGAACCGCUUUCGCCUGUGACGAAGCGUGAGUGACGGUAAUGGGUAAAGAAGCACCGGCUAACUACGUG